Molecule: long non-coding RNA, 519 nt
Filed under: Neogobius melanostomus (round goby)
Lineage: Eukaryota; Metazoa; Chordata; Actinopteri; Gobiiformes; Gobiidae
Description: lncRNA (ENSNMLG00000019249.1)
Source: RNAcentral
GUGAUGGCAUCCACUGUGUCCAAAGAGCAGCCUGCGCCUCAGGCUGAGGAGGGGAAAAAGGCUGAGGCAGUGGCCACUGUACUAGCCGCUGUGGAUCUGGCUCGUGUGCGCCUCCCGGUGCAAGCGGAGGGAGCUGCAGUCGAGGAAGAGGAGCCUGUGGUGAUAAAACCCCGAGCUGGAAAAGAGAUAAUCCAAAUCAAAGCAGUGAUGACCGAAGCUCCCAAAGCGCCACCUACAGUAAAACAAGAAAGAGUCCAAGUGACACAGAUCCAGAAAACCACUGAAAUCUCUUCCCAAGUGGUAAGAGGUGUGAGCCCGACCCCGGUGCCACACUUCUCUGUAUCUAAAGUGACCGUCCCCAAAGCUGAACAUGGCCCAGAGGUAAGAAGAGGAGCUGCCUUGGAAUCUGUGGCCAUUUCCGUUUUUACAAGACCUCAUGCCGUCUUUAACGAACCGCCAUUUUAACAUAGAGACCUGGGGCUGCACGAUAUGAGAAAAAAAAUAAAAGAGAUAAAUUAC